AUAAAAACAACUUUUCAUCUCUCACUCUCCAUAACCCUAGCCGCACAUCUCCUUCCUCCCUCUUCUUCUUCUUCCUCCCUGCGUUCCAUCCCUCUUCUUCUCCGGCCACAUUAACAACCGUCUCGUCCUCUCUCCACCUCUCUGCCGCCAUCACCUUCUUCCUUUUCUUCUCAAAUCAUUUUCUUUUCUGCACUUGUGUGACCAACAGGGCCACCACCUCCGCCCCUCUCUUCUUCUUCUCCAGGCCUAAAACCCCCAACCUGCCACCCUCAGGCCACGAUCCGGCCACCACCGGCCCUGUUUCAUGCUUUCAAGGCCUUCAAUCUCGCAAAGGAGUUUCCUUUCCUCACAUGCAAAGCGAUCUGAGAUCGGAGCUUCUCAGUCAAGAUCAAGAUUAUGUUUUUUUCUUGUUUUUUUUUUUUGUAAAAAAACCCUGGUGUUCUAUUCUGUAAAAUCCAUGUUCUGUAAUAAAGUUGUUAUUUUGGUGUUC
This is a long non-coding RNA of Lotus japonicus, 490 nucleotides long. RefSeq lists it as uncharacterized. NCBI's taxonomy places the organism in Eukaryota, Viridiplantae, Streptophyta, Magnoliopsida, Fabales, Fabaceae. The transcript is spliced from 2 exons. The record is from RefSeq and is a predicted model, not a curated record.